UACGAAGGGUGCAAGCGUUGUUCGGAAUUACUGGGCGUAAAGGGUUCGUAGGCGGAAAGACAAGUCAAGUAUGAAAUCCCCGAGCUUAACUUGGGAGUGGUGCUUGAAACUGUUUUUCUUGAGUUUUAGAGAGGGUGGUGGAAUUGCUGGUGUAGGAGUGACAUCCGUAGAGAUCAGCAGGAACGCCGGAGGCGAAAGCGGCCACCUGGCUAAGGACUGACGCUGAGGAACGAAAGCGUGGGGAGCAAACAGG
RNAcentral lists this ribosomal RNA (253 nucleotides) under uncultured bacterium. RNAcentral's name for it is "partial 16S ribosomal RNA". It matches the Rfam family "Bacterial small subunit ribosomal RNA", at positions 524 to 776 of the family's 1533-position model. The record is from RNAcentral.